UCUCCGUUGGUGAACCAGCGGAGGGAUCAUUGCUGGAACGCGCUUCGGCGCACCCAGAAACCCUUUGUGAACUUAUACCUAUUGUUGCCUCGGCGUUAGGCCGGCCUCUUCACUGAGGCCCCCCGGAGACGGGGAGCAGCCCGCCGGCGGCCAAGUUAACUCUUGUUUUUACACUGAAACUCUGAGAAAAAAACAUAAAUGAAUCAAAACUUUCAACAACGGAUCUCUUGGUUCUGGCAUCGAUGAAGAACGCAGCGAAAUGCGAUAAGUAAUGUGAAUUGCAGAAUUCAGUGAAUCAUCGAAUCUUUGAACGCACAUUGCGCCCUCUGGUAUUCCGGAGGGCAUGCCUGUUCGAGCGUCAUUUCAACCCUCAAGCCUGGCUUGGUGAUGGGGCACUGCCUGUAAAAGGGCAGGCCCUGAAAUCUAGUGGCGAGCUCGCCAGGACCCCGAGCGUAGUAGUUAUAUCUCGCUUUGGAAGGCCCUGGCGGUGCCCUGCCGUUAAACCCCCAACUUCUGAAAAUUUGACCUCGGAUCAGGUAGGAAUACCCGCUGAACUUAA
Molecule: ribosomal RNA, 559 nt
Filed under: Phomopsis sp.
Lineage: Eukaryota; Fungi; Ascomycota; Sordariomycetes; Diaporthales; Diaporthaceae
Description: eukaryotic LSU rRNA
Rfam family: 5.8S ribosomal RNA (bases 208-361)
Source: RNAcentral